Molecule: transfer RNA, 75 nt
Filed under: uncultured Celerinatantimonas sp.
Lineage: Bacteria; Pseudomonadati; Pseudomonadota; Gammaproteobacteria; Celerinatantimonadaceae
Description: tRNA-Gly
Rfam family: tRNA
About the family: Transfer RNA (tRNA) molecules are approximately 80 nucleotides in length. Their secondary structure includes four short double-helical elements and three loops (D, anti-codon, and T loops).
Source: RNAcentral
GCGGGCAUCGUAUAACGGCUAUUACCUCAGCUUCCCAAGCUGGUGACGCGAGUUCGACUCUCGCUGCCCGCUCCA